UACGGAGGAUCCAAGCGUUAUCCGGAUUUAUUGGGCUUAAAGGGUGCGUAGGUGGGAUGAUAAGUCAGAGGUGAAAGCUAGCAGCUUAACUGUUAAAUUGCCUUUGAUACUGUUAUUCUUGAGUAUAGUUGGCGUUGGCGGAAUGUGACAUGUAGCGGUGAAAUGCGUAGAUAUGUCACAGAACACCGAUCGCGAAGGCAGCUAACGAAACUAUCACUGACACUGAUGCACGAAAGCGUGGGGAGCAAACAGG
Molecule: ribosomal RNA, 253 nt
Filed under: uncultured bacterium
Lineage: Bacteria
Description: partial 16S ribosomal RNA
Rfam family: Bacterial small subunit ribosomal RNA
Source: RNAcentral